RNAcentral lists this ribosomal RNA (433 nucleotides) under uncultured bacterium. RNAcentral describes it as "partial 16S ribosomal RNA". It matches the Rfam family "Bacterial small subunit ribosomal RNA", at positions 29 to 507 of the family's 1533-position model. The record is from RNAcentral.
AACGAACGCUGGCGGCAUGCCUAACACAUGCAAGUCGAACGAUGCCUUCGGGCAUAGUGGCGCACGGGUGCGUAACGCGUGGGAAUCUGCCUUUCGGUUCGGAAUAACUCAGGGAAACUUGAGCUAAUACCGGAUAACGUCGCAAGACCAAAGAUUUAUCACCGAAAGAUGAGCCCGCGUAGGAUUAGCUAGUUGGUGAGGUAAAGGCUCACCAAGGCGACGAUCCUUAGCUGGUCUGAGAGGAUGAUCAGCCACACUGGGACUGAGACACGGCCCAGACUCCUACGGGAGGCAGCAGUGGGGAAUAUUGGACAAUGGGCGAAAGCCUGAUCCAGCAAUGCCGCGUGAAUGAUGAAGGCCUCAGGGUUGUAAAGCUCUUUUACCCGGGAAGAUAAUGACGGUACCGGGAGAAUAAGCCCCGGCUAACUCCGUG